GGAGGGUGCGAGCGUUAAUCGGAAUUACUGGGCGUAAAGCGCGCGUAGGCGGUUUGUUAAGUCAGCUGUGAAAGCCCCGGGCUCAACCUGGGAACUGCAGUUGAUACUGGCCGACUGGAGUGCGAGAGAGGGAGGUAGAAUUCCAUGUGUAGCGGUGAAAUGCGUAGAUAUAUGGAGGAAUACCGGUGGCGAAGGCGGCCUCCUGGCUCGACACUGACGCUGAGGUGCGAAAGCGUGGGGAUCAAACAGGAUUAGAUACCCUGGUAGUCCACGCCGUAAACGAUGUCUACUAGCCGUUGGGAGACUUGAUUUCUUAGUGGCGCAGCUAACGCAAUAAGUAGACCGCCUGGGGAGUACGGCCGCAAGGGUA
RNAcentral lists this ribosomal RNA (370 nucleotides) under uncultured bacterium. Its description in RNAcentral is "bacterial SSU rRNA". It matches the Rfam family "Bacterial small subunit ribosomal RNA", at positions 527 to 896 of the family's 1533-position model. The record is from RNAcentral.